UACGGAGGAUCCAAGCGUUAUCCGGAAUCAUUGGGUUUAAAGGGUCCGUAGGCGGUCUUUUAAGUCAGAGGUGAAAUCCUACAGCUCAACUGUAGAAUUGCCUUUGAUACUGAAGGACUUGAGUUAUUGUGAAGUAGUUAGAAUGUGUGGUGUAGCGGUGAAAUGCAUAGAGAUCACACAGAAUACCGAUUGCGAAGGCAGAUUACUAACAAUAUACUGACGCUGAGGGACGAAAGCGU
This 239-nucleotide ribosomal RNA is filed under the name uncultured bacterium. Its description in RNAcentral is "partial 16S ribosomal RNA". It matches the Rfam family "Bacterial small subunit ribosomal RNA", at positions 524 to 762 of the family's 1533-position model. The record is from RNAcentral.